AAAUUUUAAAAAUUUUUUCAAAAAAAAGAAACAAUACAGAGAAGAUUAGCAUGUCACCUGUGCAAGGAUGACAUGCAAAUUCAGUAAGUGUUCCAUUAAAAU
Callithrix jacchus (white-tufted-ear marmoset) is the source of this 102-nucleotide small nuclear RNA. NCBI's taxonomy places the organism in Eukaryota, Metazoa, Chordata, Mammalia, Primates, Cebidae. The record is from Ensembl.